RNAcentral lists this ribosomal RNA (319 nucleotides) under uncultured eukaryote. Its description in RNAcentral is "partial 18S ribosomal RNA". It matches the Rfam family "Eukaryotic small subunit ribosomal RNA", at positions 1470 to 1796 of the family's 1831-position model. The record is from RNAcentral.
CCCCUAGAUGUUCUGGGCCGCACGCGCGCUACACUGAACAGUUCAACAAGUCUUAACCUUGGCCGAUAGGUCUGGGUAAUCUUUGAACGCUGUUCGUGAUUGGGAUAGACCUUUGCAAUUAUGGGUCUUCAACGAGGAAUUCCUAGUAAACGCAAGUCAUCAGCUUGCAUUGAUUACGUCCCUGCCCUUUGUACACACCGCCCGUCGCACCUACCGAUUGAAUGGUCCGGUGAAAUCUCGGGACGGCGGCUUGGUCGCUGCGUCCGACUGCUGAAACUUGAUUAAACCAUAUCAUUUAGAGGAAGGUGAAGUCGUAACA